This 755-nucleotide long non-coding RNA is filed under the name Mytilus galloprovincialis (Mediterranean mussel). Lineage: Eukaryota; Metazoa; Mollusca; Bivalvia; Mytilida; Mytilidae. The record is from RNAcentral.
GUUGUCAGUUUGUUUUAGAUUUAUGAGUUUGACUGUCCCUUUGGUAUCUUUCGUCCCUCUUUUAUUACCACUGGGUCGAUGUCUCUGCUGGUGGACAUUUUUGUCCCCGAGGACAUCAUCCGCCCAGUAGCAAAACUACAAUUGCAUGAACUUACGAAGAACUAACAGGAAACUGGCUCGGACGUCGCCCAGUAUAAAAAGGUCCGAAACAGACGUCACCAUGGACACGGUGUCGUCUGAUACGGCAGGUGUCCCCUCAUCACCAGACAUGACAAAUAUCCCAAACACGACUCAUUCAGAUCAUCGUCCUAGUGAAAACAGCAACAUUACACAUAUACAGCCAUGUUCAGUUCUCCUUAAAGACAUUUUGGUUUUUUGAUGACACAGUACAACACUGUCGCAUUUCAAAAUGUGAGACCAAAGGCUGCAAAACUUGUGCUAUUUUAAUUACAGAUGCUGAAUUCACUAGCAAUUUGACCAAGAAGUCAUAUUUUACCAGAAGUUACGAUGAUCUGAAUUGUAAAUCGAUAAAUGUCGUCUACGGAUUAGAGUGCAACCUUUGCGGAUUGGUAUACGUCGGUGAAACGAAAGGAAGGCUAAACAAACGGAUGUGCGGUCAUAGAUCAGACAUUAACCUCAAUGCUAACGACAUUCUAUACCAGCAUUUCAAUCAGCCCGAUCAUUCCAUCGUUUCUAUGACAGUUCGCAUUAUCGAAAAGAUAUACCAUAGCUCUAACAAUCCUAAUCUUUCAACG